UGCUGUUGUCACUCGUAUUCCAAUUAAUCUUUUUAGUUUUGUUUGGACGCAUGUAUCAAUAUAGUUAGAUUAAAAGUUUUAACUUAAAAGGAAAGUGUAACGAUAAACCAUUUUUUAACUCUUUUAUUUUAUUUUUUCCUUUUUUUACUGUCAUAGUUUUAAAUUUGACUAAAGAUUUAUUUAUCAAAACUGGAGCGUGCUCUGUUUGUUAGGUCGUUUUUAUCUAUUUGAAUUUGGGUCUUAUCAAUAGAUAAUUUCAAAUUUUUAAAUAUUA
This 274-nucleotide long non-coding RNA is filed under the name Capsella rubella. RNAcentral's name for it is "long non-coding RNA (CRUB_LNC000816)". The record is from RNAcentral. Lineage: Eukaryota; Viridiplantae; Streptophyta; Magnoliopsida; Brassicales; Brassicaceae.